This 66-nucleotide transfer RNA is filed under the name Batillaria multiformis. Its description in RNAcentral is "tRNA-Arg". The record is from RNAcentral. RNAcentral also lists the same sequence under 1 other name. Lineage: Eukaryota; Metazoa; Mollusca; Gastropoda; Batillariidae.
GUAAAGGAAGCGAUUAUUUGCUUUCGGUUUCGGCCCGUACCUAGGAGGACUAACCUUCCCUUUACU